This 137-nucleotide small nucleolar RNA is filed under the name Mustela putorius furo (domestic ferret). The record is from RNAcentral. Lineage: Eukaryota; Metazoa; Chordata; Mammalia; Carnivora; Mustelidae. RNAcentral also lists the same sequence under 1 other name.
UUGGCCCUGAAUCAAGGCCAGCAGUUUGCUGAAGCUGUUGGUUUCAAACAGGAGCCUAAAGAAAUGUCUUUCUAUGGUCUGUUGGCCAUUUCAAAACUUUGGAAAUGUAAUGGUCAAUUCAUUAGAAAGAAAUAUCU